GCUUAGAAGUGAGAAUGCCGGUAUGAGUAGCGAAAGACGGGUGAGAAUCCCGUCCACCGAAUGCCUAAGGUUUCCUGAGGAAGGCUCGUCCGCUCAGGGUUAGUCAGGACCUAAGCCGAGGCCGACAGGCGUAGGCGAUGGACAACAGGUUGAUAUUCCUGUACCACCUCUUUAUCGUUUGAGCAAUGGAGGGACGCAGAAGGAUAGAAGAAGCGUGCGAUUGGUUGUGCACGUCCAAGCAGUUAGGCUGAUAAGUAGGCAAAUCCGCUUAUCGUGAAGGCUGAGCUGUGAUGGGGAAGCUCCUUAUGGAGCGAAGUCUUUGA
Molecule: ribosomal RNA, 323 nt
Filed under: Xenorhabdus doucetiae
Lineage: Bacteria; Pseudomonadati; Pseudomonadota; Gammaproteobacteria; Enterobacterales; Morganellaceae
Description: partial 23S ribosomal RNA
Rfam family: Bacterial large subunit ribosomal RNA
Source: RNAcentral